AUGCGUACGCUGUUCUGGAACAUCCGCGGUUUCGGCCAAGAUGGCCGACGCCACCAACUGAUAGAGUACAUGCGCAAUGAACGAAUCGACAUUUUGGCCAUCCAAGAAACGACGCGUACGGAAUUUUCCCUAUCGGAGCUCGAACAUUUGAGCUCCAAUCUAUUUUCUUGGCACUGGCUCCCUUCUAGUGGGAGCAUGGGCCACUCGGGUGGCAUCCUUCUAGGGGUUAAGGAUGCCACCUUUGAGGUAGGAAGCAUGGACCGGGGCGAGUUCUUCGUUAGCAUGGAGAUUUUUGAACGGGCCCUCAACUUCAAAUGGGAGAUCAUAGCGGUCUAUGGCCCAGCCGAUCAUCGACGCUUUGAAGCCUUCCUCGCUGAGCUUCGCCGAAAGGUUGCAGCCGCCCAGCUACCGGUGGUGGUGGACGGAGAUUUUAACCUCAUC
This 441-nucleotide ribosomal RNA is filed under the name Triticum aestivum (bread wheat). Its description in RNAcentral is "partial small subunit ribosomal RNA". Lineage: Eukaryota; Viridiplantae; Streptophyta; Magnoliopsida; Poales; Poaceae. The record is from RNAcentral.